RNAcentral lists this ribosomal RNA (494 nucleotides) under uncultured bacterium. RNAcentral describes it as "partial 16S ribosomal RNA". It matches the Rfam family "Bacterial small subunit ribosomal RNA", at positions 28 to 507 of the family's 1533-position model. The record is from RNAcentral.
GACGAACGCUGGCGGCGUGCUUAACACAUGCAAGUCGAACGGUGAAGCGCCUUCCUUUUUGGUGGGUGUGGAUGAGUGGCGAACGGGUGAGUAACACGUGAGUAACCUGCCCCCUUCUUCUGGAUAACCGCAUGAAAGUGUGGCUAAUACGGGAUAUUCUGGGUCUGUCGCAUGAUGGGUCUGGGAAAGAUAUUGUUUCGGUGGGGGAUGGGCUCGCGGCCUAUCAGCUUGUUGGUGGGGUGAUGGCCUACCAAGGCGGUGACGGGUAGCCGGCCUGAGAGGGUGGACGGUCACACUGGGACUGAGAGACGGCCAAGACUCCUACGGGAGGCAGCAGUGGGGAAUAUUGCACAAUGGGAGCAAGGCUGAUGCAGCGACGCCGCGUGAGGGAUGGAGGCCUUCGGGUUGUGAACCUCUUUCGCCAGUGAAGCAGGCCUGCCUCGUUUGUGGGUGGGUUGACGGUAGCUGGAUAAGAAGCGCCGGCUAACUACGUG